CCUACGGGUGGCAGCAGUGGGGAAUAUUGCACAAUGGGGGAAACCCUGAUGCAGCGACGCCGCGUGAGUGAAGAAGGAAUUCGUUAUGUAAAGCUCUAUCAGCAGGGAAGAAAAUGACGGUACCUGAGUAAUAAGCUCCGGCUAACUACGGGCCAGCAGCCGCGGUCAUACGUAGGGGGCAAGCGUUAUCCGGAUUUACUGGGUGUAAAGGGAUCGUAGGCGGCAGUGCAAGUCUGGAGUGAAAGGCGGGGGCUCAACCCCCGGACUGCUCUGGAAACUGGCAGGCUGGAGUGCAGGAGAGGUAAGUGGAAUUCCUAGUGUAGCGGUGAAAUGUGUAGAUAUUAGGAGGAACACCAGUGGCGAAGGCAGCUUACUGGACUGUAACUGACGUUGAGGCUCGAAAGCGUGGGGAGCAAACAGGAUUAGAUACCCGGGUAGUC
RNAcentral lists this ribosomal RNA (440 nucleotides) under uncultured bacterium. Its description in RNAcentral is "partial 16S ribosomal RNA". It matches the Rfam family "Bacterial small subunit ribosomal RNA", at positions 338 to 795 of the family's 1533-position model. The record is from RNAcentral.